Molecule: ribosomal RNA, 2868 nt
Filed under: Triticum aestivum (bread wheat)
Lineage: Eukaryota; Viridiplantae; Streptophyta; Magnoliopsida; Poales; Poaceae
Description: partial small subunit ribosomal RNA
Source: RNAcentral
GAGUUUUUUGGGGUCAACCGCUCUGGGACGCUCCUGGCGCACUGCCCGCGUCGUGCGUUGUGGGCAGCAACUGUGGAGGGGCCGGCCGGUGCGUGUGCACUCGGUUUCUGCACUCACCUUUGGCCUUCCGCGAUGACGGGUGGCCCGGCGCUGCUCCUGGUCCCGCUCCGUCGGCUGUCCUGGAUGCCGUUUCGUCGGGGUCGUGGUGCGAGCGAACCUGUCCUCGCACGCCGCGCAUCGUGCGGCCCGUCAUGGGCAGCCUCAAAUCACAACAACCACGUCCCUCCCUGCUCCCUCCCUUGUCCGUCGCCGCACCCGUUCUUCUCCUGCUCUCUCUCUCUCUCUUCUGCGAUGUUCCUCCUUCCUAUUGGCGCGCCUCGCCCCGUCUUCCACCUUCACGUUCAUCUUCAACACCCCCUCCUCGGCUAGAUGGCACCUCUGGGGGUGAAGGAGCAGGGGAGGGCCAAGAGGCCAGCGGUGUGGGGUGGAGCAGCGAGGCCGGCAGCCCAGACGGCGGACGCCUCAUGGGAUGGAGGAGAGGCCAGCGAUAGGGAAGGAUCAGAAUCCUCAUGGAGCGCAGGGAAGGUGAAGUCCCGACGGCUGAAGAUGGUGCGCACGGGAGGAGCUCAGGUGAUGUCAAGGGUAGUUAUGCCUCCAUGCAUUCCAUAACAAAAUGCAUAUAUGUCCUGGAGGUAGGAUUUCAGCUUCAGAUUGUCAUCAAGUUUGUUGAAUUUAUCGUUCCAUGUUGGAACAGUGUACUUUCACGAGUAUUUUUCUACUGAGUACAUACAAUACUUUCACACCUAUGUUGUAUUAUAUUCCAACUUUACAAGUACCUUGUGCUUUUGCUCUUGUAUUCUUUCUAAAUGCUCCACAAGUCCUGCACUAAUUUUUUCAACAAAAUAAUUAAGUGAAACAUGGCUCUGAGCUAUUGCCAUAUGGUAGCUGUAUGGGCUCUACGUGAGUUUAGCAGUCAUAUUUUCUUUAACUGUUGGUAAAAGUCUUAAGCUCUGCUACUUUAGAAUUUUCUGAAAUACAAACAAUAGCCAUAGUUCCAUAUGCAUUUCUUUGAUUGUAAUUUCUUGUUGGUACCUUACCAAGCAGGCCGCUUGGUGCGUUUCUAUCUUACCUGCUGCCAUCAAACUGAAGCCACAAAUCCAGUGGAUUUUGUUUCUGUUAAAUCAUAUUACGUCCAGAAAUGUGAGCUUAUAUCCGCUGCAUCUUUAGGGAGGUCUUUUUUUAUGCUGAAAAUAAUGUGUGUGCUUAUCCCAUUAACUUGAGUGUGUUAUUACAAGUUGAAGGGGUAUGAAUGGUCCACAGCUCAGCUGCCUGUUGUUUCUGUAAGAAAUUACUUUCUUCAUUAUUGAUUGCUCAUGAUUAUUCUGUCUUGAAUAAACAUAUGGUGUGGCACUUUUCAUAUAAUGAUUUUAUAUCUUUAUGGUCCCAAAAUCAUGCUGUUGAUUUACUUUCGUGUUAUUUCAUUAUUUUGGCUUUGAAAAGCAAUAGUAUAGUAUAUCCAUGGAGUAUAAUAGGUUUAUUUGUUUGUUCUAUCAAGCCCGUUUUAUUCCAUUUGCAUGAGCAUAUACCAAACUUUUUUAAUGCUCGCUCGUGAACAAGAUGAGAGCACUGGUUAUGUAUUUCCAAACAAGGCUUUGACUGAGAUAGGUAUUACUGAUUUCUUUGGAUUGCUAUGCUGCAAAACUUGAUGUAUUGUCUCGGCUAACUCUCCUUUUUUUAUUCAAAAGCAAAGAAGAUUCCUACAACUGCUGCAGAUUUGCGAAGAAUCGUGAAAUCAGAAUAUCCAUGUAUCAAAAGCAAAAAAGAUGCCUACGACUACUGUAUACUCCCUCUGUUCCUAAAUAUUUGUCUUUUUAGAGAUUUCAGAUGGACUACCACAUACGGAUGUAUAUAGACAUAUUUUAGAGUGUAGAUUCACUCAUUUUGCUCCAUAUGUAGUCACUUGUUAAAAUCUCUAGAAAGACAAAUAUUUAGGAACGGAGGGAGUAGGAAUGAUGUUCUAUAUUGCUGCCACAUGAGAAUAUAUAUCGUAGUGCUCUGAAUAUAAAUUAAAAUGUUACUCGGGUCCUUGGUUAAUGCAUUGUUUUUCCUUUCCCAUCCAGAAUGAUAUUUGAAGAUACGAAAUUAGUACGAGAUCGCUUUAGGGGGUUUAAACACUUGGAUAAGAUUAAACACAUGUUGUACCAAAUUGGCAGUCCUUCAUCCGAAUUUUCUUGAUAAUGGUACACCAUUUGGCAAUGGGUUCUCUAAAAAACUUAAAAUUCCACUAGAUAUUAUUUAGAUAUAAUGGAAAAGGGAUCAGAAAUGCGGUUUGCAUGACCGAAAACAUCCUUAACAUAUGGUUGUUCAUUAUACUCUGGGGUAGUGAGAUCGGUUAGUAAUGUUACACAUAAUAUAUUUUUUGCAGUUGUGUCCCUCACUCUCUUAAGCAUGUUUUUGUUGUAUACUGGUUAGUUGUCACGAUGCAUGUAUUUGAGGCUGUCAUCGGGUCUCCACUAUUGUACAUUUGUCUUGCCACUUUGUUGUUCAAAUUAUUUUUUAGGAAACUAUUUGAACUCUUUUGAAGGCCAUUUGCUCUUACUGCUUUUCUUUAUAAGUUUCUUCAUAAUGGCACUUUCCACCUGGAAAAAGCAUCAAGGUCAGCGAUCCAGUUUUUGUUCUAUAGGCAUCUCUUCUUUGAAUGAGGCAUGGUAGCAGAUGAUGUAUCUGUUUUAUGUGUGUCACAAGAGGCAUCCGGUUGCUUGACUUUGUACGCACAUUCUGGUUCUUUAAUCUUAGUUGUACAACCUAUAACUAUCCAAUUUAUUCUUUGUAAACCAACUCAAAGUUGUGAAUUGAUGACCACACCUG